GGUUCCUGGUUUAGUGGCGCACGGGUGCGUAACGCGCAUGCAACCUACCUUCCACAGGGGGAUAGCCCGGGGAAACCCGGAUUAAUACCGCAUGACACCUUUUCCUGGCAUCAGGAGAUGGUCAAAGUUUCGGCGGUGGAAGAUGGGCAUGCGUGCCAUUAGCUAGUUGGCGGGGUAGAGGCCCACCAAGGCGACGAUGGCUAGGGGUUCUGAGAGGAUGGUCCCCCACACUGGUACUGAGACACGGACCAGACUCCUACGGGAGGCAGCAGUAGGGAAUAUUGGGCAAUGGCCGAGAGGCUGACCCAGCCAUGCCGCGUGCAGGAAGAAGGCCUUCUGGGUUGUAAACUGCUUUUAUCGGGGAAGAAAACGCUCCUGCGGGAGUAACUGACGGUACCCGAUGAAUAAGCACCGGCUAACUCCGUGCCAGCAGCCGCGGUAAUACGGAGGGUGCAAGCGUUGUCCGGAUUUAUUGGGUUUAAAGGGUGCGUAGGCGGCCCGUUAAGUCAGCGGUGAAAUCCCAGGGCUCAACCCUGGAACUGCCGUUGAUACUGGCGGGCUCGAGUUCGGUCGAGGCGGGCGGAACUGGUGGUGUAGCGGUGAAAUGCAUAGAUACCACCAAGAACCCCGAUUGCGUAGGCAGCUCGCUGGCCCGAAACUGACGCUGAGGCACGAAAGCGUGGGGAGCGAACAGGAUUAGAUACCCUGGUAGUCCACGCCGUAAACGAUGAUCACUCGAUGUUUGCGAUACACGGCAAGCGUCCAAGCGAAAGCGUUAAGUGAUCCACCUGGGGAGUACGC
This 801-nucleotide ribosomal RNA is filed under the name uncultured bacterium. RNAcentral describes it as "bacterial SSU rRNA". It matches the Rfam family "Bacterial small subunit ribosomal RNA", at positions 82 to 885 of the family's 1533-position model. The record is from RNAcentral.